RNAcentral lists this ribosomal RNA (146 nucleotides) under Chitinophagaceae bacterium. RNAcentral's name for it is "partial 23S ribosomal RNA". It matches the Rfam family "Bacterial large subunit ribosomal RNA", at positions 2769 to 2925 of the family's 2925-position model. The record is from RNAcentral. Lineage: Bacteria; Pseudomonadati; Bacteroidota; Chitinophagia; Chitinophagales; Chitinophagaceae.
CGCUGAAAGCAUCUAAGCGUGAAACCUUCCACAAGAUGAGUUUACUUUUAAGGGCUGUCAGAGACUAUGACGUUGAUAGGCUACAGGUGUAAAGUUGGCAACAACAAAGCCAAGUAGUACUAAUUGCCCGUAUGCUUUAUUUUUUU